UUGCAAGCCAUCUUGUCUAAAUGGCCCCAAACUUUUCUCUGAAACUGGGCUUGUGUUUUGCACCUGUACAUUUUUUUCCAUGCAAGCAGCCUUCUUUGCUUGCAAGUUGGGAAGUUAGACAAGCCGUCUCUGGAGGAAUAGAUUUCAAGGGCUAAAUUUUCACAACAGCCUCUGAAAUUGGAUAUUAUUUUCCUCGUUUAAAUGGACAUUGGAAAGCGAUCCCACUUAAAGACAAAAUCCCAAGGUCAUCACCCUAAGGUUCAGUUUCCCCACUCUCUUUCUGUCUAGCUGUGUCUACCCUGUACAUAGAACCACGUUUGGACCCAGUUCUACAAAAAUCAACAGUUUUGGGGAACCUGAUUAUGACGGACACAGCUGCCAGCUCUGCGUAGUGUUGUUCAGCUCGGAUGUUAAUGAGCUCAGUGCCAUAUUCCCCCGUCAGCCUCUGUCAAGAUGUUACGGGUUGCCGUGAACUUUCACAAAUGAAAAGGGAGUUUACUUUUGAGGAGGGCGGGCGGGCAGCCAACAUUACUUUGUAAGA
Trachemys scripta elegans is the source of this 541-nucleotide long non-coding RNA. RefSeq lists it as uncharacterized. The record is from RefSeq and is a predicted model, not a curated record. Lineage: Eukaryota; Metazoa; Chordata; Testudines; Emydidae. The transcript has 3 exons.